Molecule: ribosomal RNA, 449 nt
Filed under: uncultured bacterium
Lineage: Bacteria
Description: partial 16S ribosomal RNA
Rfam family: Bacterial small subunit ribosomal RNA
Source: RNAcentral
AACGAACGCUGGCGGCAUGCCUAACACAUGCAAGUCGAACGAACCCUUCGGGGUUAGUGGCGCACGGGUGCGUAACGCGUGGGAAUCUGCCCUUGGCUUCGGAAUAACAGUUAGAAAUGACUGCUAAUACCGGAUGAUGUCGCAAGACCAAAGAUUUAUCGGCCAGGGAUGAGCCCGCGUAGGAUUAGGUAGUUGGUGGGGUAAAGGCCUACCAAGCCGACGAUCCUUAGCUGGUCUGAGAGGAUGAUCAGCCACACUGGGACUGAGACACGGCCCAGACUCCUACGGGAGGAAGCAGUGGGGAAUAUUGGACAAUGGGGGCAACCCUGAUCCAGCAAUGCCGCGUGAGUGAUGAAGGCCUUAGGGUUGUAAAGCUCUUUUACCCGGGAUGAUAAUGACAGUACCGGGAGAAUAAGCUCCGGCUAACUCCGUGCCAGCCGCCGCCGCGG